Long non-coding RNA from Rhineura floridana, 1347 nucleotides. RefSeq lists it as uncharacterized. Lineage: Eukaryota; Metazoa; Chordata; Lepidosauria; Squamata; Rhineuridae. The transcript has 4 exons. The record is from RefSeq and is a predicted model, not a curated record.
GUUGUUGCCAGCUUCAUCUCCACACAAUGCAAAACCCUCCCUACUCCUCUCCACUUCCCUUUCCCUUGUUUCAAAUGUAUCUCUAUAGUUUGUGGUGAAUUCCUCGGUGCACCUUUCUUUAGUGCCCUCUUCUAGCUCUUUUAUUCAUUCAUUCGUUCGUUCAUUCUUCAAAUCUUGGAGCUGCCCCAACCUAAUCUCUCAGUCUUCUUUCUUAAUGCUGCUUUUCAGUUUCCCAUUAGCAUUAACAGAGAAGCUGUAAUGAGUAGACCCACUGAAAUCAAUAAACCUAAGUCAGGCUGCAAUCCUGUGCCUACUUAUUGGGGAACAAGCUCCAUAGGCUUCAGUGGAACUUACCUUUGAGUAGACUUGCCUCAGAGUGCACUGUUAGUCAUGCCUAUUAACUUCAGUGGGUCUGCUCUGAGUAGGACUAGCAUUGAAUGCCACCUUACCUUCUGGGGUACUGAAAUUUUCAGCAAACUUUCCAAUGGAACUAGAGCCCUGGAACUGAGUGAUCAUCUGAAACAUCUGAUGACAGGGUGUGCUUUUAUCUGGAAGCUGCGAUGUUCAGCAGAGAAGGAAGCUGCUGGGAAAUGUCAAUGUGAGGCACAUACAGAGAGUCAUUGGUAAAGGUACCAUAGUAACUUUGGAUCACAGAGGAGCUUUGAAGAAAUAAGGACAUGGAUCAGUGAGAGAGGCUGUAGCAAAAAAAAAAGAAAUAAAAAAUGAAACAAAACAAAACUAUUGACAGAAUGUCAUGAAGCUGUUGAGAAGACGGUAGUAAAAAAUAAAAAAGAAGGAAUUUGUUCCCCUCAUUGAUCAGUCGGUGGACAGGAUGUAUUCAAAUUCAAGGCAUCUUCCGUGUGACAUUUCUAGUGGAACAAAGGCAGCAAACCGAGCACACUGCUUAGUAGAAAAUGGAUUGUUGGCUCCCAAUAAUAAAAUGGAUAAAGAAUGGAUUAGAUUAAGAGAGCAAAAUGGAUACAAAGCAUGCUGAUACAGCUACCGUAAUGAAAAAAGACCUGCAUAACUCAUAUUUGGCACCUUACAGAUAGAUUUUAACUGGAGAGAAAGAAACAUAAUAGUCACCCCUUUGGGUGAAAUGUCCUUCAAUUAAUCAAUAGCUAUUACGUGAAAAAGGGAGAGAACAGAAUGGCUUUUAAGUAUAGAUAUUUCCCAGCAUCUGCUGAGGUCUGCUUUGCUUUGGCUUGCAUGCUUGGUAUAUUUGCACUGUGAAACCCAGGCAAGCAAUGUAGUGGAAUGCUCUGUGGAGUAUUUGGAAGGUGGAACAGGGGACUACUGAGCAGUCUGAUUCCAUCCCAUUUCAGUUUUGUCUGUACUCAAUCAUGU